This is a long non-coding RNA of Pieris brassicae (large cabbage white), 1606 nucleotides long. RefSeq lists it as uncharacterized. NCBI's taxonomy places the organism in Eukaryota, Metazoa, Arthropoda, Insecta, Lepidoptera, Pieridae. The transcript has 3 exons. The record is from RefSeq and is a predicted model, not a curated record.
CACAAUAAUCUACGUGUAACAUAUGACGAGCUAAGGCAAUAAGGUAGCGGUCACCGACAAUAUACUCGUAAAAUACAUUAUCAUUCUAGUCUGAUCUACUAGCGUUUCACUUUUCCCUCACCAAUCACUCUUACGAAUUAAAGGGAUUCUUACAAAAGCUAGAGUCUGGCUAAUGAAAGAUAAUUGAAUUAUUUGAAAACUUUCGGAUUGUUUAAAUAUGAGUAAAACUAUUAUUAAACUACUAUUAAAACUAAAAGUGGAGUUCGAGAGAGUUCUGCAUGAUAUGAAAAUUCCAAGAAAAAGAAGCUGAAUUCUACCAAAAACAAGAUUUUUUACGUGUGGUGUUGAAUUUCUUAGGAAAUCUGGAGGAUAUAGGAGUCGAUGCAAUAGUGAGAACUAUUGGUGUAAGUGUAAUAUCAAUACAAUAUAAUAUAAAAAAAGAAGAAGCAACAAGGUGUCUGGAGUACACCUGGAAAAAAACAACCUCAUAAACCAAUAGUGUCUCAUUUGGACAAUUUUGACAUGUAUGUAUGACAUGUAUAUUUGCAACAAAAUUUAUGAAUUUUAUAUUGUUACAAAACAAGUUCCAACAUUAAUAACACGUUUGCUGGUAUUAUGAGAAAGCAUUGGAUUUACUGGAUGUCAGGAAAUUCUUUCCUGUAUUGUUGGCUAUGAAUGGCUAUGAAUUUAAGAAAAAAUGAAUGUUCUUUGUUAAUUGAGCACAAUGACAUAUCCGCCUGGAGACAUUACUAAUUAAGAUCUAUAUCGUUGAAACAUGUUGAAAGAAAGCCAUUAAUUUAUUUAGAUGAAACUUAUGUCCAUAAUAACUACAAGCCCAAAAAAUCUUGGCAAGGUCCGUCUACAAAUGGUGCUAAUGAAAAUAUUUCAUCUGGAAAAAAAUACAUAAUUGUACAAGCAGGGUCGGAGAAAGGUCCUAUGCCGAACUCACAAUUAGUAUUUAGCACUAAAUCAAAAAUGGCUGAUUAUCACCAAGAUAUGAAUGCUGCUAACUUCAAUAAGUGGUUAGAAGAAAAGCCUACCUAGCCUACCCUAUGUAAAUGAGCCCAGUAUUAUUGUUAUGGACAAUGCCAGUUACCAUUUCGUUAUAGUAAAUAAAGUCCCUACAACACAGAAUGGCAAACAUGAGAUAAGAGAAUGGCUUACUUUGAAUAAUAUUCAAUUUGUAGAGUUCCAUUCAAUAGCAGAACUGCUAUGUCUAGUAAAAUGGUAUAAAUCAGAGCCAAUAUAUGACGCCAAUGAAAUUUUAAAGCACAAUGGUCAUGCGGUAUCGAGACUACCUCCAUACCAUUGUGCUCUAAAUGCCAUUGAGCUGGUAUGGAGUCUGGCAGAAUGCAGAUUAGCAAAUAAAAAUAUUAAAUUGACUACAGAGCAAGCAAAAUGUAACAGCAGAAGAGUGGAAGAAAAUUACUAAUCAUGUUGUACAUGUGGAAAAUAAAUGUAAAGAUAGGGACAGGACUACAGAGGAACAUUUAGAAAGUUUCAUUAUCAAUGUAAGAGACAGUGAUAACGGCAAUGAGUCUGAUGAAUCUAUGCAUAUUGAUUUUUGGAUUCUAAUUUUGAUUAUUCAGAAUAAAGUUGUGUUUUA